Molecule: transfer RNA, 77 nt
Filed under: Candidatus Dadabacteria bacterium
Lineage: Bacteria; Pseudomonadati; Thermodesulfobacteriota; Candidatus Dadabacteria
Also listed under: 1 other name
Description: tRNA-Met
Rfam family: tRNA
About the family: Transfer RNA (tRNA) molecules are approximately 80 nucleotides in length. Their secondary structure includes four short double-helical elements and three loops (D, anti-codon, and T loops).
Source: RNAcentral
CGCGGGGUGGAGCAGCCUGGUAGCUCGUCGGGCUCAUAACCCGAAGGUCGGGGGUUCAAAUCCCUCCCCCGCUACCA